AUGGCGACCGGCGCACGGGUGAGUAACACGUAUCCAACCUGCCGAUGACACGGGGAUAGCCUUUCGAAAGAAAGAUUAAUACCCGAUGGCAUAGUUCUUCCGCAUGGUAGAACUAUUAAAGAAUUUCGGUCAUCGAUGGGGAUGCGUUCCAUUAGCUUGUUGGCGGGGUAACGGCCCACCAAGGCAUCGAUGGAUAGGGGUUCUGAGAGGAAGGUCCCCCACAUUGGAACUGAGACACGGUCCAAACUCCUACGGGAGGCAGCAG
RNAcentral lists this ribosomal RNA (265 nucleotides) under uncultured bacterium. Its description in RNAcentral is "partial 16S ribosomal RNA". It matches the Rfam family "Bacterial small subunit ribosomal RNA", at positions 88 to 354 of the family's 1533-position model. The record is from RNAcentral.